Molecule: non-coding RNA, 111 nt
Organism: Acanthosepion pharaonis
Lineage: Eukaryota; Metazoa; Mollusca; Cephalopoda; Sepiida; Sepiidae
Source: the annotation of a GenBank genome assembly
AUGGCAAUAUCGCGUUGAAACGCCGAUUCCCGUAAGAUCAUCGAAGUUAAGCAACGUUGAGCCUGGUCAGUAUCUAGAUGGGUGACCAUUUAGAAAUACCAGGUACUGUAA